UGGUUGGUUUCUCUUCUUUUA
Non-coding RNA from Caenorhabditis elegans, 21 nucleotides. Lineage: Eukaryota; Metazoa; Nematoda; Chromadorea; Rhabditida; Rhabditidae. The record is from Ensembl.